This 468-nucleotide ribosomal RNA is filed under the name uncultured bacterium. RNAcentral describes it as "partial 16S ribosomal RNA". It matches the Rfam family "Bacterial small subunit ribosomal RNA", at positions 28 to 507 of the family's 1533-position model. The record is from RNAcentral.
GACGAACGCUGGCGGCGUGCUUAACACAUGCAAGUCGAACGGAAAGGCCCUGCUUUUGUGGGGUGCUCGAGUGGCGCACGGGUGAGUCACACGUGAGUAACCUGCCCUUGACUUUGGGAUAACUUCAGGAAACUGGGGCUAAUACCGGAUAGGAGCUCCUGCUGCAUGGUGGGGGUUGGAAAGUUUCGGCGGUUGGGGAUGGACUCGCGGCUUAUCAGCUUGUUGGUGGGGUAGUGGCUUACCAAGGCUUUGACGGGUAGCCGGCCUGAGAGGGUGACCGGCCACAUUGGGACUGAGAUACGGCCCAGACUCCUACGGGAGGCAGCAGUGGGGAAUAUUGCACAAUGGGCGGAAGCCUGAUGCAGCAACGCCGCGUGCGGGAUGACGGCCUUCGGGUUGUAAACCGCUUUCGCCUGGGACGAAGCGUGAGUGACGGUAAUGGGUAAAGAAGCACCGGCUAACUACGUG